GACCCGGUAGCACAUGGAGUGCACCCGCACACCGUUUCUUGCGGCGGACAAAUGUUGGCGGGAGGACCCCGUUCGAUCCGGGGCCGGGUCG
This is a non-coding RNA of Mycena galericulata, 91 nucleotides long. The record is from the annotation of a GenBank genome assembly. NCBI's taxonomy places the organism in Eukaryota, Fungi, Basidiomycota, Agaricomycetes, Agaricales, Mycenaceae.